UCCUGUCUUCCAGACACAGCUGUGUGUACUCUUAGAGCCCCCUUAGAGUCUUCUACUCAGUGCUGGAAGUGGGAUUCUGUCCUACCUUUGGACCAAUGCUGAAUCUCUUCAACGCUAUGCCUUCUGGAAGCAACGCUGUCCCAGAACAGGGUAACGCAGUAGGAACAAAAGAAAAGUCAGUGGUAGGAUCAAGCUGCACAUCUUCUUAGUCAGGCAAGAGUGCAUCAGUACCUAAGGCUACAUGGACACUGACUGGGAAGGUGGCUGGAACCGAGGGCUCCUGGAAAGACCCAAGCCCCAACUGCCAGGUGGAACCCAAGCAGAAAAUCUCUGUGGGUUACACCGUGGAGAGCAAGCGCUAUGGGAAGAAGAGGUGGCCACAGGAGAUAAGCCAGAGAGCACACUGUCAGAAAUGGUAAGAUGCAGUUCCCCCCAAAGCCAGUAAUUUGAUAUGUGUCAUAACAGAGGACAUUCAAUAGCCAAGAAAGAGUCUGAAAUAGCACCAACUAUUUGAACAAGUGCUCUUCUUUCAAUCUCUCUUCCACUUACCCUGAUUAAGGAUCAUGAAGUGAGGGGCGGAUGAGGAAGUAGAACAGAGAAAACAAAAGAACCUUCUUCCCUUUUCUGAUCUCCAAACUAUGAGUUAGUGAGGCCCAAGCUGAGGGAAAGAGAGAUGAUUCAACUGACUUUUAAACAUACAUAACUAGGUGACCAGUCUAACACCUUAACAGGACUGGGCAGCUAUGGGCUCUGCCAACGGAUGGGGAACGGAGAAUGCUUUAGGAUUUGUUUGAAGAGAGCGCUCCAAAGAGAAAAUAAAACUGGUCCUGAUUGCACCCUACCAAGUUUAGCCAAGUCAACAAACAGGUUAUGGUGUAGGUUGCUCUGUGGUGUUAUCCGUAGACUUCUCUUGAGGUAGGCUGUAAGAAAUAGCACUAUGCCACUCACCCUUGUAUGUACUAUCAUAAUGGCUUCUCUGUUAGGACCCUUGAGGAAACAUCUCCGCGAGCUUCCUGUCUGGGCUAGUUCUGCUUCUCUGUACCAGAGAGAGUGCUUGCAUCCAAUGGACACACCAAGUGACAUCAAGGGUGUCAGUGAGAAAGGUCUAUUCUGCACGGUCUAUUUCAUCACUGACAUUGUUUACAAUCGCUGCACAUGGUGAUGACAAGUAGGUCAACGUCAGUCUGUUUUAUCGGACUUCAUAUAUUUGCUACAGAAAACACCCACACCCCCUGGUGGAUCGCUUCACCUCUUUUUAUCCCAAGGACACGGUGAAUCAUGUUUUCCAUCUGUGUUUCAGUCACUGCAAAGUAUAGAGGCCGAUUCCUAGAGUCUCGUCUGCCAGCACCUUUCUCAUACAGGGCCUUAGUCCUGGCUCCAGUUUAGAUCACUAUUUUUUCUUCCUUCACACUGUCCCUCUCUCCUUUAUUUUUAAACCUACUUCUCAUUAAAUUAUUUUUAUGUGCAAAUCUUUGUAAUAAGCCCAUUUCCAUCCUCUUUGCAGCAAGAUACAUAAGCAAGGCAUACACGGAAAGAACAUUUUUAAAUGCACAUAUUUAAUGAUCUAUCCCAUGGGCGGAGAAUCACGUGUGUAGUUCAUUCUAGACACGAGACAUAAAUUUGCACCUUUCAAAAUGCAGUGAAUGACCCCCACAAUGCUAUUUCAGGUUUCCUUAGGAAACAGCACCAUGUGGCGUAACUCACCUACCCCAGUAGUGUGAUCUCCCUUUGGUCCUGUGUAGGAGGUGGGGGUUUCUCCCCUCCUCCUGUGCCAGCUGCUCCGGUUUCUUCUCUCCUGGGUAAAGGCACAUUCAUCUUGUUCGAAAGUACACUCUCCAGGUGGAGGUGGAAGCCCCUCUGUGAGGAAACAGCAGGUGUUAUUAUUACUGAGGCACUUUCAAUGAAUAUGCAUUCCACGGCUCCCCAUUCUGCAUGUGUGAAUGUCACCUGGCCAUAUGCCUGUGCUUAUGGAGAGGCAGCACCCCCCCCACCCCCGCUGCCGGCCUCUAACUGGCAACCCUCCUAUGCCAAGCUCUUGCCUCUAGCUAGAGCCUGGACUCUACCAUGGGUCCUGCCACAGGGACAGAGAACAAUCAGGAAUCUAGAUUUAGGGGCGCCCGGGUGGCUGUCGGUUGGGUGUCCAGCUUCAACUCAGGUCAUGAUCUCAUGGUUCAUUGGUUCGAGCCCUGCAUCGGGCUCCGUGCUGACAGCUCAGAGCCUGGAGCCUGCUUUGGAUUCUGUGUCUCCUCUCUCUCCCUCUCCUCCGUUCGAGCUCUGUCCCUCUCUCUCUCUCAAAACUAAAUAAGCAUAAAAACAAUUUUUUUUUUUAAAAAUCUAGAUUCAAAAGUAUUGGGAUACUUUGAGAUAGAAACUUCCUCUGACUGAUGAAUUUACUUGUCAGAAUGAGCUUACAAAGCACUGAAAAUUGGAGGCAAACUGCCUUUAUGGAAAUAUGGAAAACAAUAAAUUGUCUCGUGUUGGAGCUUUCUUCAGAAAUCCUGGCUGAGUGAAGGGAAUCCUUAGAACUCAGUAGUUGCUUUGGACGAGGAGGAGAAUGUGCGAAAGCUAAGUGUGCUUCUGGAGGCACAGUUUAACUUGUGUGGAGCAUGUGACUUAAUUCUUCUGUCUUCAAUAUUCUUGUCUACCUUCUGGGAUUGUGAGUUUUAAAGGAGAUGAUGUAUGUGAAGUGUUUAGAACAUGAAGUUCUCAGGAAAUGUUAGCUAAAUGAAUAUUAGGGCUUGGUGUUUUGUCACCUGGAGCCUUAUUUUCCAUUUCCAAAAACAAAUAUUUAUGUCUUUGGACACUGUCUUCAAUAAGUGUCAUGAUUAUUCUUAUUAUUAGAAUGGUGUCACCUCCCACUUAACUGGGGACUUCUUUGUCUGAACUCGGCUGUACCUUCCCGCAUCCAGAUUCUUAGCAGAUUUCUCUAAUAAACAGCCCGUUU
This 2944-nucleotide long non-coding RNA is filed under the name Lynx pardinus (Iberian lynx). The record is from RNAcentral. Lineage: Eukaryota; Metazoa; Chordata; Mammalia; Carnivora; Felidae.